This is a non-coding RNA of Schizosaccharomyces pombe (fission yeast), 1185 nucleotides long. The record is from the annotation of a GenBank genome assembly. Lineage: Eukaryota; Fungi; Ascomycota; Schizosaccharomycetes; Schizosaccharomycetales; Schizosaccharomycetaceae.
UCUGUCCAUCUCACCAACUUUAAGUAUGUUUUCAAUGGCAUCGAGAGCAACUUGAAUAAUUUUAUUAUCGGAUCCGUUCAACAUAUCGCAAAGUGGCUUAAUAACGCCUUGUGACACAAGGUAACGAAUUUGGUCAGGCUGACCGAGACCGCCAGAAGUAGCAUUAGAAAUAGCCCAACAGGCUUCUUUUUUUGUUUUGUAGUCGGCAUAUGAGAGUAAAUGGACCAAUGGAGGUAUAAGAUUACUUUCAAUAAUUGCUUGGAUUUGUUGGGUAUUGCCAGCAGUAAUAUUGCUAAUAGUCCAACAAGCUUCCUUACGAAUGUUCUCUUUUUGAUGACUGAGAAGACUAGGGAAUGCAUUGAGAGCACCGCAAUCGAUUAUGAUCUGUGUUUGCGCGUCAGUACCUGUUACUAUAUUCCCCACAGAGCGAAGGGCAGGAGUUUGAAUAUUAACGCUGGGAGAGCUCAAAAGUUCAACAAGCCUGGGCGCACAUCCAACGUCUAAAAUGGCGCCAAUUUUUUCGUUAGGUCCAUCAGAAAGAUAGGAGAUGGCCCAGCACGCGUCAACAAUAAUCUCAACGUCUUCAGAAUAAAGGAGCUUAGCAAGGAUUGGAACGGCUACAGAAAUAGUUGACCAGUUAGGUGGUGGAUUUUUGCCUCUACACAAGUUAGAAAGUGUCCAUGUAGCGUUACGGAGCAUAGAAACAUCAGAAGCGCUACUCUGAAGAAUAUUAAGUAAAGGCUGUAAAACUCCGUUACCGAGUACAUAGUCACGGCAGGCAGAAGAAUCGCCAGCUAUGUUACCGAGGGCCCAUACAACCUGCUCACGGACAUCUUUUUCAGGUGAAGAAAGUAAUUGAAUAAAACGAGGAACAGCGCCGGAAUCAACAACAAUACGGGUUUGAUCUGUGGUACCACUAGCGAUAUUUGUUAAGGCCCAAGCCGCUUCAAAUUGAAGCAAGUGAUGUUCACUUUCUAAAAAUUGUACGAACCGGUCAACAACACCACAAGCAAUUACCUGAUCAAUAGGGGGAUGCGUCUCCUUAGAAAGAUAUUUCCUGAAUUUCGUGACGGCACCUAAUUGUAGCUCAAUGUCGUCUGACAUCACAUCAGCUGUCAAUUUAGGAAAUUCAUCUUUCAUUUGUUGCUCCAUUUGAACCUGAGACUGAUCAGCCUCCUCUUCCAC